RNAcentral lists this ribosomal RNA (429 nucleotides) under Bacteroidota bacterium. RNAcentral's name for it is "Bacteroidetes bacterium partial 16S ribosomal RNA". It matches the Rfam family "Bacterial small subunit ribosomal RNA", at positions 355 to 776 of the family's 1533-position model. Lineage: Bacteria; Pseudomonadati; Bacteroidota. The record is from RNAcentral.
UAGGGAAUCUUCCGCAAUGGACGCAAGUCUGACGGAGCAACGCCGCGUGAGUGAAGAAGGAUUUCGGUUCGUAAAACUCUGUUGUUAGAGAAGAACAGCGCAUAGAGUAACUGUUAUGCGUGUGACGGUAUCUAACCAGAAAGCCACGGCUAACUACGUGCCAGCAGCCGCGGUAAUACGUAGGUGGCAAGCGUUGUCCGGAUUUAUUGGGCGUAAAGCGAGCGCAGGCGGUCAAUUAAGUCUGAUGUGAAAGCCCCCGGCUCAACCGGGGAGGGUCAUUGGAAACUGGUUGACUUGAGUGCAGAAGAGGAGAGUGGAAGUCCAUGUGUAGCGGUGAAAUGCGUAGAUAUAUGGAGGAACACCAGUGGCGAAGGCGACUCUCUGGUCUGUAACUGACGCGGAGGCUCGAAAGCGUGGGUAGCAAACAGG